CCCUCAUCGCCCUCAUGCUGCAGCGGGAGCCCGCGGCACGGCCCGGCCCCGCACGGCUGCUGCAGCACCCCUUCCUCACACAGGGUUUCACACCCCACACGCUGCCGCCCCGUGCCUGCCACUCCGUGCCCAUCUUCGUGGGACAGGAGCCCCUGUGCUGGAUGCUGCGGUGCUGUGUCCCUGUCACCCCUGCCCAAAGGAGCUGAGCCCCAACAUCUGCGGAGGAAAACUUUUAUUAGUGCUGGGAACCGUCUAAAAUCCAGAAAUCCAGUCAUGGAAACAAGCAGGGGGUGGGACGUGACCAGAACGGACAG
This is a long non-coding RNA of Melospiza melodia melodia, 314 nucleotides long. RefSeq lists it as uncharacterized. NCBI's taxonomy places the organism in Eukaryota, Metazoa, Chordata, Aves, Passeriformes, Passerellidae. The record is from RefSeq and is a predicted model, not a curated record. The transcript is spliced from 2 exons.